RNAcentral lists this ribosomal RNA (607 nucleotides) under uncultured bacterium. RNAcentral's name for it is "bacterial SSU rRNA". It matches the Rfam family "Bacterial small subunit ribosomal RNA", at positions 331 to 929 of the family's 1533-position model. The record is from RNAcentral.
CCAGACUCCUACGGGAGGCAGCAGUAGGGAAUCUUCGGCAAUGGGGGGAACCCUGACCGAGCAACGCCGCGUGAGUGAAGAAGGUUUUCGGAUCGUAAAGCUCUGUUGUUAAGGAAGAACGAGUGUGAGAAUGGAAAGUUCAUACUGUAACGGUACUUAACCAGAAAGGGACGGCUAACUACGUGCCAGCAGCCGCGGUAAUACGUAGGUCCCGAGCGUUGUCCGGAUUUAUUGGGCGUAAAGCGAGCGCAGGCGGUUAGAUAAGUCUGAAGUUAAAGGCAGUGGCUCAACCAUUGUAGGCUUUGGAAACUGUUUAACUUGAGUGCAGAAGGGGAGAGUGGAAUUCCAUGUGUAGCGGUGAAAUGCGUAGAUAUAUGGAGGAACACCGGUGGCGAAAGCGGCUCUCUGGUCUGUAACUGACGCUGAGGCUCGAAAGCGUGGGGAGCGAACAGGAUUAGAUACCCUGGUAGUCCACGCCGUAAACGAUGAGUGCUAGGUGUUAGGUCCUUUCCGGGACUUAGUGCCGCAGCUAACGCAUUAAGCACUCCGCCUGGGGAGUACGACCGCAAGGUUGAAACUCAAAGGAAUUGACGGGGGCCCGCACAAG